Molecule: RNA transcript, 3940 nt
Organism: Triticum aestivum (bread wheat)
Lineage: Eukaryota; Viridiplantae; Streptophyta; Magnoliopsida; Poales; Poaceae
Exons: 22
Source: RefSeq, a predicted model, not a curated record
AUCUCAGAUCUGGUCUUGGCUAGACCUUGUUUCCCGAGCCAAGCCGGAUUUCUUAUCUUCAGAUUAAAACUUUUUAAUUGACCACCACCGUUUAGUUAAUCUUCUUGCUGUCCGAGCGUCAAAAAAAUAUCCGGUCCUGGUCCUUCCCUCAUUAAAGAGCCAAGCUCUUCAUUCCUAUCGCGGUCUCGCUCAGGCCAGUUUCUUCGUCUACACAAACCUUCUUGUACUGCGGUGCUGCUUGUGCUCUUCUCUUCUUCUCCGGGGAAGUAUCCUUUACUGCUGCUCCGUUUUCAGUUGAAACUUACAAAAGCUCAAGGGGGCGAAUGGCAGAGGACAAGAGCAGUAGCAUCGGGAGCAAGGUUGAUGACACAAGUGGUCAGCCGCGUAAGCUAUCGUACCAAUUUCUGAAAGAUAUUACGAAUGAUUUCGACGAGGCUCAAAUAGUUGGCCGUGGUGCAUACGGUACAGUUUACAAGGGUACUUGCGAAAAUGGUGAGGAGAUUGCUGUGAAGGUACUUACGAACAUGACAGGACUUGAUAAUAAGGAGUUUCAGAAGGAGUUCGAGAACCUUAGGAGGCUCAAGCAUCAAAAUGUUGUUGAGCUGUUGGGUUUCUGCAACGAAUCAGAGGAAGUUGUUGUAGAAUAUGAUGGGAAGACAAUUGUCGCUGAAAAGAUGCAUACCGCGCUCUGCUUCGAGUAUGUACGUAAUGGUAGCCUUGCCCAACAUAUUUCUGACGAUGGAUGCUCGGGACUUGAUUGGCAGAUACUAUACAAAAUAAUUAAAGGGAUCUGUCAGGGUUUAGAAUAUCUUCGGCAUGGGUUGGAGUUUCCAGUAUGGCAUUUGGACUUGAAACCUGCUAACAUAUUGCUAGAUAAUAAUAUGAUUCCAAAGCUUGCAGAUUUUGGCUUAUCAAGACUCUUAGGUGAUGAAAACACAAGAAAGACCAUCAGUCCCAUCGGUACAGGUGGUUACUCGCCGCCGGAGUAUGUAGAUCAUAGACUAAUAACAAAAAAGUUCGAUAUAUUUGGCUUGGGUGUUAUAAUUGCAAAGUUAAUGGCUGGACGUGAACGCUACUCUGAAAUUGAUUACAUGACGGAAAAGGUGUUUACUAAGCAUGUACAUGGCAGCUGGAGAAAAAAGAUGCGGGAAACAUUGUCGCCUAGACAACUGGAAGUAUAUUGUGAACAGGUCAAGAUAUGCAUUCAGAUAGCACUGAAAUGCAUGAAGCGUGACAGACAAGAAAGGCCCACUGUACAGUCCAUUGUCUCUAGAUUGGAACAGACAGAAAUAAUGAUAGGUAGCCUGGAGCUGCAGACAGAACAGUUCUUUGAUGGGGAAACCAUUCACCCCAAGGGAGGCCUCCAGGCUACACCUCCAGAAAUGGCCCCUGACACCAGCAGUGCUAGAACCGACGAUGGUAAGACAGGCACUACGAGUGCAGAACGGAAGAUGUGGCCGCUACAACUAUGGAAGAAUAUUACGAAUGACUUCUCCGAGGACCGAAUAAUUCGCACGGGUGCAUUUGGAACAGUUUAUAAGGGAAUUCUGGAAGAUGAUGAGAUUAUUGCUGUGAAGAAACUAGCGGAAAAUGCACCGCUGCCAAGUGACAACGUGUUUACUAAGGAAGUUCGAAAUAUUAUGGCUCUAAAAAAUGAAAAUAUACUACCCUUGGUUGGCUACUGCCGGGAAGGACAAAAGAAAAUGGUGCAAAACAAUGGAAGAUAUAUUGUUGCAGACAUAGUUGAAAGUGUACUCUGCUAUGAAUAUUUACCUAAAGGAAGCCUUGCGAAGACUCUUUUUGAAGUACCCAAGAAAAUAGACUGGGAGACACGAUUCAAAAUAAUUAAAGGGGUUUGCAAGGGUUUACUCUUUCUACAUAGCAUUCCUAUUGUUCAUAUGGAUCUCAAGCCUGAAAAUAUAUUGUUGGAUAAUUACAUGCGGCCGAAAAUUGCGGAUUUCGGUCUCUCGAGGCUCUUCGGUCAAAAACAAACACAGAUGAAUACACAAACUGUCAUUGGAUCAUAUGGAUACAUAGCUCCGGAGUAUCUAUACAGAGGCGAAAUCUCCACCAUGUCAGACAUUUACAGUUUAGGCGUACUCAUCAUGGAGACCAGCACAGGAGAGAAAAAUAUUCUCAAGCAAAACGAACCGUCUGCAAGGGAGUUCAUUAAAAAUGUACGUGAAAAUUGGACAGAGGAGCGCAUAGCGUCAAAGUACCCGUCGUUAGCUGCAGUUUGCCUGAACCAAAUAAAAGCAUGCAUCAACAUUGGACUAGAGUGUGUGGAGAUUGAUCGGCGCAAGAGACCAUCCAUAGAAAAAAUUCUGGACACGCUCAACAGACUUCCGCAGAUAGACUCCAAUAACGUUCUCAGCCUGCAACCCCAGAGGAUAAACUUCCCUAUUGGGCCAAAGAGGUUGACCUCCAGCUCGCUUUACCUAAUAAACAACAGAGAUGAUCGUAUUGCCUUCAGGCUUGAAACCAAAUUCCCAAGGAGGUGCCUUACAAAGCUUCCAUUGUGUGGCGUUGUCCCGCCGAAGUGCACCUACAUUCUCACUAUGCUAAUGCGCGAACAGAAGAAGUCGCCACCGUCGAACAGCGACGAUGGUUUGAUACUACAAAGCAGUAUUGCACACCAUGAGGACCUCGACAGUGUCGACCCAGCUUCCGUGGCCAUGUUCCUUGACUCCAUCGGCGAUGAGGUGAAAGAGGCGAAAGUUCCGGUUGCUUGCGAACCACUAGCUGAAACAAUCUCUAACGAUCAGAUCAUAGAUGGUCCUAAUUACCGGGAGGUGUUGUCUGUAGAUGUCCAUCCAACAGAACCAUGGAUCUUGACGAGCAACAAGAGGGGUCAUGUUUGCAUUUGGAACUACCAAACUCAGGCAGAGGUGAACUCCACUGAAGUCACUAGAGAGCCAGCAUAUUCGGCAAAAAUUAUUGAACGGGAGGGAUGGUUUGUGGUUGGCAGCGGCGAUGGGUGCAUCUAUGUGUACGAUUAUAACAUGAUGGAAGAUGUAGAAAUGAUCGAAGAAGCUCAUGAUAGUCAUCGCAUCAUGUGUUUGGCGGUUAAUCCAACUCAUUCAUUUCUGCUGUCAGCAUCUGAUGACCACAAUAUUAAGCUUUGGGAUUGGACUAACGGAUGGCAGUGUACCCGAACUUUUGAGGGGCACGAUGACACAGUCACACAAGUAAUGUUUAACCCGAGGCACAGCAGAAGCUUCGCGAGUGCUUCCUUGGAUCACGGAGUCAAGAUUUGGAAUAUUGAUUCUGGAACGUGCAACAUCACGUGGGAUGGCCAUUCGGGUGGUCUACUCUCUGUUCAUUACCACCCACGGUAUUUUCAGCAGUCUUUGAUUUGUGGAUCUUCAGAUGGUGCCGCAAAGAUCUGGGACCUAGAGACGGACAGUUGCGUCGAUACGCUCCAAGGACAUGAAAAGGGUAUCAGUGCUCUUUGUUGGCACCCAGAACUUCGGGCACUAGUUACUGGUUCGCUUGAUGGGACCGUGCGAAUCUUGAGCUGGAUGUGUCAUAGCAAUACAUACAGGGCAACCAAUCUCAACUACCUCUUAUCAUGAUCAAAGGAGCUAUGCAUGCCAUGGUCCAAACAUAUAGUUGAAAAGCUUGAGAACGUCAUUGGAUUAAAUCUCGGUGCUGUCAAUGCUCUUGGAUACCUAAAGGGAUUAACAAGGAUUGUGGUCGGAUGCGACCAAGGAAUGGCACUGAUGGAAAUUAACGUGAUUUAAAUCAAGACCCAGUCGUUGGCUAGGUAGGAGGAAGGACUCUAGAGAAAAUUAAGUGGAAGCAAAACUCUUAUUGAAAUCAAACAUUAAGAAUUUCCAGAAUUAUAUUUGUUUGUUGUAUUAUGGAGUUCCUCUUGGACAGUACUAAUGGUGUGGAGACUCGGUAGCAUCCAUUAAUACGAUAUAAAACUGUUCGUUUA